UGGGGGAUAUUGCACAAUGGGCGAAAGCCUGAUGCAGCGACGCCGCGUGGGGGAUGAAGGCCUUCGGGUUGUAAACCUCUGUCAGAAGGGAAGAAACCGCACUGUGCUAAUCAGCAGUGCCUUGACGGUACCUUCAAAGGAAGCACCGGCUAACUCCGUGCCAGCAGCCGCGGUAAUACGGAGGGUGCAAGCGUUAAUCGGAAUUACUGGGCGUAAAGCGCACGUAGGCUGCUUUGUAAGUCAGGGGUGAAAUCCCACGGCUCAACCGUGGAACUGCCUUUGAUACUGCUUAGCUUGAAUCCGGGAGAGGGUGGCGGAAUUCCAGGUGUAGGAGUGAAAUCCGUAGAUAUCUGGAGGAACAUCAGUGGCGAAGGCGGCCACCUGGACCGGUAUUGACGCUGAGGUGCGAAAGCGUGGGGAGCAAACAGG
Molecule: ribosomal RNA, 429 nt
Filed under: Fusobacteriota bacterium
Lineage: Bacteria; Fusobacteriati; Fusobacteriota
Description: Fusobacteria bacterium partial 16S ribosomal RNA
Rfam family: Bacterial small subunit ribosomal RNA
Source: RNAcentral